UGAGCAAUCUGCCCUUCUCAUCGGAAUAAGCGUUGGAAACGACGUCUAAUGCCGAAUACGACCUCCUUUCGCAUGAUCGGAGGUGGAAAGCUCCGGCGGAGAAGGAUGAGCUCGCGGCCUAUCAGCUAGCUGGUGUGGGUAAUGGCCCACAAGGCGACGACGGGUAGCCGGCCUGAUAGGGUGACCCGGCCACACGUGGGACUGAGACCACGGGCCCCGGACUCCCGUAACGGGGAGCCA
Molecule: ribosomal RNA, 240 nt
Filed under: uncultured bacterium
Lineage: Bacteria
Description: partial 16S ribosomal RNA
Rfam family: Bacterial small subunit ribosomal RNA
Source: RNAcentral